RNAcentral lists this ribosomal RNA (470 nucleotides) under Bacillus australimaris. RNAcentral's name for it is "bacterial SSU rRNA". It matches the Rfam family "Bacterial small subunit ribosomal RNA", at positions 14 to 473 of the family's 1533-position model. Lineage: Bacteria; Bacillati; Bacillota; Bacilli; Caryophanales; Bacillaceae. The record is from RNAcentral.
UGAUCCUGGCUCAGGACGAACGCUGGCGGCGUGCCUAAUACAUGCAAGUCGAGCGGACAGAAGGGAGCUUGCUCCCGGAUGUUAGCGGCGGACGGGUGAGUAACACGUGGGUAACCUGCCUGUAAGACUGGGAUAACUCCGGGAAACCGGAGCUAAUACCGGAUAGUUCCUUGAACCGCAUGGUUCAAGGAUGAAAGACGGUUUCGGCUGUCACUUACAGAUGGACCCGCGGCGCAUUAGCUAGUUGGUGGGGUAAUGGCUCACCAAGGCGACGAUGCGUAGCCGACCUGAGAGGGUGAUCGGCCACACUGGGACUGAGACACGGCCCAGACUCCUACGGGAGGCAGCAGUAGGGAAUCUUCCGCAAUGGACGAAAGUCUGACGGAGCAACGCCGCGUGAGUGAUGAAGGUUUUCGGAUCGUAAAGCUCUGUUGUUAGGGAAGAACAAGUGCGAGAGUAACUGCUCGCAC